UCAGGGGCGGAUCAAUGCUGAUCUGACAGGAGGGGUGCAGAUUUCCCUGGGGGGUGCAUUGGUGCGCUGCCGCUACCGUGCUGACCGGGCUGUUGUGUAUAUUUUUAGGCAUAUCGCCAUGACCCCUGUUUUGUGACCCCUCCCAUGUGAUCAACUGAUCAAGCAUUUAAGUCCCUGAGCUAGGAUGGACAUAAAAUGCUCAAAUGCCCGGCUAGUACUUUAGUAGCUUGUUAAAUUAAUGCACACAGUAUAUUUGCAAAGUAUUAUUAUUCUUUAUUUAAUAAUUAUUAAUGAAUAGUAGUAUAAACCAAAAUAAUAUAG
Molecule: non-coding RNA, 321 nt
Organism: Paramuricea clavata
Lineage: Eukaryota; Metazoa; Cnidaria; Anthozoa; Malacalcyonacea; Plexauridae
Source: the annotation of a GenBank genome assembly